CUACGGGAUGCACCAGUAGGGAAUUUUCGGCAAUGGGCGAAAGCCUGACCGAGCAAUGCCGCGUGAACGAUGAAGGCCUUCGGGUUGUAAAGUUCUGUUAUCAGGGAAGAAUAUACGGAUUAGGAAAUGACUCCGUACUGACGGUACCUGAUCAGAAAGCUCCGGCUAACUACGUGCCAGCAGCCGCGGUAAUACGUAGGGAGCAAGCGUUAUCCGGAAUUAUUGGGCGUAAAGCGUGCGUAGGCGGUUCGUUAAGUCAAAUCUGAAAGCCCACAGCUUAACGGUGGAGGGCGAUUUGAAACUGGCGAACUUGAGUACGGCAGAGGUUAGUGGAAUUCAAUGUGUAGCGGUGGAAUGCGUAGAUAUAUUGAGGAACACCAGUGGCGAAGGCGGCUAACUGGACCGGAACUGACGCUGAGGCACGAAAGCGUGGGGAGCAAACAGGAUUAGAUACCCGAGUAGUC
This 464-nucleotide ribosomal RNA is filed under the name uncultured bacterium. RNAcentral describes it as "partial 16S ribosomal RNA". It matches the Rfam family "Bacterial small subunit ribosomal RNA", at positions 339 to 795 of the family's 1533-position model. The record is from RNAcentral.